UGACGGUCUUAGGCCGCGAGGCCUUGGGU
Molecule: small RNA, 29 nt
Filed under: Bombyx mori (domestic silkworm)
Lineage: Eukaryota; Metazoa; Arthropoda; Insecta; Lepidoptera; Bombycidae
Description: ovarian small RNA-31789
Source: RNAcentral